Molecule: ribosomal RNA, 253 nt
Filed under: uncultured bacterium
Lineage: Bacteria
Description: partial 16S ribosomal RNA
Rfam family: Bacterial small subunit ribosomal RNA
Source: RNAcentral
UACGGAGGGGGCAAGCGUUGUUCGGAUUUACUGGGCGUAAAGGGCGCGUAGGCGGUCGAUCAAGUCACUUGUGAAAUCUAUGGGCUUAACCCAUAGCGGCCAAGCGAUACUGAUUGACUAGAGUGCAGAAGGGGCAACUGGAAUUCUUGGUGUAGCGGUGAAAUGCGUAGAUAUCAAGAGGAACACCUGAGGCGAAGGCGGGUUGCUGGGCUGACACUGACGCUGAGGCGCGAAAGCUAGGGGAGCAAACAGG